RNAcentral lists this ribosomal RNA (253 nucleotides) under uncultured bacterium. Its description in RNAcentral is "partial 16S ribosomal RNA". It matches the Rfam family "Bacterial small subunit ribosomal RNA", at positions 524 to 776 of the family's 1533-position model. The record is from RNAcentral.
GACGAACCGAGCGAACGUUGUCCGGAAUCAUUGGGCGUAAAGCGCGUGUAGGCGGCCCGGUAAGUCCGCUGUGAAAGUCGGGGGCUCAACCCUCGGAUGCCGGUGGAUACUGUCGGGCUAGAGUGCGGAAGAGGCGAGUGGAAUUCCUGGUGUAGCGGUGAAAUGCGCAGAUAUCAGGAGGAACACCAAUUGCGAAGGCAGCUCGCUGGGACGUUACUGACGCUGAGACGCGAAAGCGUGGGGAGCAAACAGG